ACUACUAAGUCACUACUGUGAUCCAGUGAAUUCAAAGGCAGAGGAACACAGGAAGAGUGCAGGUCUGAGCUGCUUAACAGGCUCAGAGAUAUGUGUCUGUGUUUGACCCUCAGUGGGAGGAAGGGGCAUAGGCUACUGGUAGAUGCCCAGUUUUACCAUAUUAUGCUGUUGCACUGGAUACUAUUAAGAAGACAGGCACAUUUCUGGGUGCCAGGGAAGAGGCAGUGGUUCCAGAUGAGUCAGACUGCUGUUGUCACCUCCUCCCUGCUGGAAAGACAAGACUCAGCAGCUCCUUGGAGAUGUUCAGAACUUGGGGUGAAGGCAUAAAGAGCGGUUGGAGCUGUCUCACGAUGCUGCCAACUUCCACAGCCUUCUGGAGAAACCAACUCAGCUACAGGGUAAAAUCUGGGGGAAAUUCACCUGUCUGAUGCAAAGUUAAACUGCUGGCUUUAAUGUGACUGCAUGGGAACUUGGGUUUAUUAAUGAAUACAACAUACCCUCUUUGAUUUGAAAGCUUUCACCCUGCUGAAAAGAUUCAAAAGGCAUCGCUUCCUGCACCAGCGGCAUUCCUUUAUCCGUCUCAGUGGUUCACCCCUACCCAGCUGCUAUAUCUCAUUAACAAGCAUUUGACCACUGCAGCCGGCCUGGGAGUGUUGACACUUGAAAAGCCCAGGCAGGCGUGGGCAGGCCAUCAGCUAUGGCAACAGGAAACUGCCCCGGAGACAACACUGAGAAAACAGCAGCUGCAAAAGCCAAAGUCAGAACAGACAUAAAGGGCUGCCUAUAUCCACGUUGGUCUGGGGUAUCGGUGCCUGUCUGUGGGUCUGAAUCCACACAUCUAUUUACUGUAUUCAUGGGAUAGAAAGGUUGCUAUCAGCAUGUAUCAGAGUCAGGACUUUUUGACAACCCAGAAUAAUUUUUUUUACGACUUACGAUGUUCUUGGAUCCUUAGGUUUCUUAUUCUCCUAAUAACUUAAAUUCUUGUUUGUGUACAUAAGACUAUUCACCAGAGGCCUCAAACUUGAUACACACCUUUACUCCAGUGGAAGUCAUAUGCACAAUUUAAAAAAUGUAUAUGCAUGAACGCUUAUGCAUUUUUCAGGCUAUCACAUUAUUUUUUAAGAACAAGUCAACUUGUGAGACUGUCAUAUAAUUAUAUUAAGACUACUUUAAAAGCCUUUGGUUUAGGAAUCAAACUGUGAUGGUUUUGUGUAAAAUAUUUCAGAAUGAAAGUAUUGUUUCAAUUGUGUAACUUUGGCUCACAAAAUUAAGUGGGAUAUCUCAUAUAAUCAUUGAUUAUAAUAAUUUUAAAUACCUAUUUUAAUAUCAUUUAUUGACUAUUCAUUUAAUUGUAGGCCUUUCAAUGCUAUAAGUGUUGUUUCUACAUUGAUCAGAAGAGCUUAAAGUAUAGACUGUCUCAUGUAAUGUUUUGAGCAAGUAGUUUUCCAUAUCGUGUGUGUCCUUUUGAAGCCUAUAAAAGCAUUUUUAGUGGCUAGGUAAGCAAUAGUUCAAAAUCAAUGUUUUCCAUCUAUAAAGAAAAUAACCCUUUUUAAAACAAGAAAAAGAGAUCACUCUAUAAUAGCAGAAAAAAGCUAAAUGAAAAAAGACACUAAUGCAGUGUGUUACAAGUGAAGUUAGUGGUCUGCCAUUCAAAGAGUGGUGAAUUAUUUUCCUGUCAUUGUCAGUACAAUAGACAAUCAGUGAUGAUCACAUUGAAGUAUACCAUUACUUUAUUCAUUUGAGUAAUUCAGGUUUAUGUACGUUUGCCUAUCACUCAUCAUAAAAGCUCUUUUAAUUUCACAUUGUUACUCUAAGGUAGUUAAUUAGAUUUUUUAAAAGAUGUGAAUGUAUUUUAAAUUAUCACAGCUUGUUUUUUCGAGAUGUUGGAAUAUGCUUCUUGGGUGCAGUAAAUUUUUCAGUUCUACCUUCAUCCACCUUUUACACUCCAGGGGAAGAGAAGACUGUACCAGCCGCAUCUUCCUGAAAGCCAUUAAGAUAUUUACAUUUGAUGUCAUAGGGGUUCACGUUCAUUUCUGAUAGGCAGGAUGAUGCCCAGGCACUGGAAACAGCUUGGGAGCAACUCUCAGUUCUGCUGCCCACCAGCAAAGUGAACCUUGAGUGAGGGACUUCAAGUUUCUGUGCCUCAGACUCCCAGUCUAUUAAAUAGUGGUAAGAUGAAUAGUACUUAAUUCAUAGGCUGGUAUAAGGAUUAGAUGGAUGUACACACACAUCACACAUACACUUCAGAGUGCCUUUCUCCUAAGCAGUCUAUAACUGCUGCUAUUAAUACCAACCUCUUUUCUCACCAUAUCACACUUUAUCCCUUUAUAGUGAUUUAUAUUUCCAUAGAACUUAUUUUAUAUUGUUAUAUGUGAGUGUUGACUUAUUUAUUUUAUAAUAAAACCCUUUCUUGUCUUCCCCUAAGACACACACACACACACACACACAGCUAUACAACUAUAGGCUUUAUGAAAUUAUGGACUUGCUGAGUGAUUGCAUUUGUGUAGAGCUAGCCUCAGAGACAAAAAAGAACCAAGGAUAAAUUUUAAUGAAGCAAUGCCAUAAUAGGAAAGUGCCUGAUGUACACAGUUUCAGGAACAGGGUGAUUGCUAUUUUAAUACAUAUCUUUCUUCAUCUAUAUUGUAAAGGUGAUGCUCAUACCCUGGAAAAUCUUGCCUUGAUGCUAUUUCUACUGGACUGAUGAUUCACAGUUUCUGUCCUAUAUAUCUAUUAUUAUAAUCUUAUUCAAAGAUUGAGUCAUUUAUGUUAGGGCUCAUAUAUAAAACUAUAAGAUCUAUCUUUUAAAACUAAUUUUUAAUUAACAAAAAUUAUAUUAUGUAGGACAUAAUGUUUUGAAAUAUGUAUGCAUUUGUGGAAUGGAUAAAUCAUGCUAAUGAACAUAUCUAUGACUUAUUUUUGUGUGGGAAGAACACGUAAAAUCUGUCUUAGUGAUUUCAAGUAUACAAUACACUAUUAAUAACUAUAAUCACCAUGUUGUACAAUAGAUCUCUUGAAUUUGUUAUUCCUACCUAAAUAAAAUUUCUAUCCUUUGACCAUCA
Callithrix jacchus (white-tufted-ear marmoset) is the source of this 3059-nucleotide long non-coding RNA. RefSeq lists it as uncharacterized. The record is from RefSeq and is a predicted model, not a curated record. NCBI's taxonomy places the organism in Eukaryota, Metazoa, Chordata, Mammalia, Primates, Cebidae.